This is a long non-coding RNA of Salvia miltiorrhiza (redroot sage), 392 nucleotides long. RefSeq lists it as uncharacterized. Lineage: Eukaryota; Viridiplantae; Streptophyta; Magnoliopsida; Lamiales; Lamiaceae. The record is from RefSeq and is a predicted model, not a curated record. The transcript is spliced from 3 exons.
CUCCUUCACCUCACACUUCCACCAUUUUCCACCAUUAGAGCAAACCUUCGAAGCUUCCAAUAAUACUACCAAACACCUCACAUCACUCUAAAACUUUCCCUAAACACUAUCUAUCCUCAUUUGAUCAAGAGAUUCCUUGAAGAAGAGCCUCAAAAUUUAGAGUGAGAAAGUGUAGACUUUGGUAAGAACUUGGGCCCGAGCGAGACGAAGAAGUAAGUUGCCUGAUUUCUUUCCAGAAUAAGCGAAGGACUUCAGGCUAAGCUGGGAGUGAGAUUGGACUGGUGCUGAUGGGGGAGAGUUUCAAAUGAUGUAAAUUAAAUUACUAUUUUGCCUCUAUGAUAAUAGAGUCUUGAUGUUUGAAUUAUUUAGUUUCUUUUGAGAUCAAGCGAUAC